CCCUUAGAUGUUCUGGGCCGCACGCGUGCUACACUGAGUGGAUCAGCGGGACAGGUUGCGCGAAAGCGUUUCCUAAUCUUUAAAUCCGCUCGUGAUGGGGAUUGACGGUUGCAAUUUUCUGUCAUGAACGAGGAAUACCUUGUAAGCGCGGGUCAUCAUCCCGCGCUGAAUACGUCCCUGCCCUUUGUACACACCGCCCGUCGCUCCUACCGAUUGAGUGGUCCGGUGAGGCUUUGGGAUCUGAGCGGAAAGAGCGUUUCGCUGUUUCUGCUCGGAAAACUCAGUCGAACCUUAUCAUUUAGAGGAAGGAGAAGUCGUAACA
Molecule: ribosomal RNA, 322 nt
Filed under: uncultured eukaryote
Lineage: Eukaryota
Description: partial 18S ribosomal RNA
Rfam family: Eukaryotic small subunit ribosomal RNA
Source: RNAcentral